Molecule: ribosomal RNA, 391 nt
Filed under: Haematomyzus elephantis (elephant louse)
Lineage: Eukaryota; Metazoa; Arthropoda; Insecta; Psocodea; Haematomyzidae
Description: partial 12S ribosomal RNA
Source: RNAcentral
CCCUAUUAUUCUUGUGAAUUAUUAAUUUUCUCUAGAAAUUAAAUGAUAUAAUCAUUAAACCUAUGCAGGAGUGGCGGUUCUUGGCCCAAUCAGAGGCUUAUGUUUUAAAUCGAAAUUACACGAACAUCUUACCACAAAUUAUAUUGUCCUUGCACACCGCCGUCGGAAGGGAAAGAGUUAAAUCUGAACCUUUAUCAGCACUCAUAUGUGGAAUACGUGGCUGAACUAAGACAGGUCAAGGUGCAGGUUAUAUUUAUGGGGAAAAUGUAAGUCAUUAUUUGAGUUAUAUAAGUUUAUGAGAUGAAAUUUCCCAUAAUUGUUAUAGAAUUUGACAGUAAAUGGAGUUUAAAAUACUGCAUUGAACAGGGUCUCAAGAGUGUACACAUCGCCC